GUCGGGGUGGCUCAGCCUGGUGGAGCAUCGGACUCAUAAUCCGGGGGUCACGGGUUCAAAUCCCGUCCCCGACA
This 74-nucleotide transfer RNA is filed under the name Thermoplasmata archaeon. RNAcentral's name for it is "tRNA-Met". It matches the Rfam family "tRNA". From Rfam's summary of the family: Transfer RNA (tRNA) molecules are approximately 80 nucleotides in length. Their secondary structure includes four short double-helical elements and three loops (D, anti-codon, and T loops). The record is from RNAcentral. Lineage: Archaea; Methanobacteriati; Thermoplasmatota; Thermoplasmata. RNAcentral also lists the same sequence under 1 other name.